GCUCUCUGAUUCAGCGGCGGACGGGUGAGUAAUGCCUAGGAAUCUGCCUGGUAGUGGGGGACAACGUCUCGAAAGGGACGCUAAUACCGCAUACGUCCUACGGGAGAAAGCAGGGGACCUUCGGGCCUUGCGCUAUCAGAUGAGCCUAGGUCGGAUUAGCUAGUUGGUGAGGUAAUGGCUCACCAAGGCGACGAUCCGUAACUGGUCUGAGAGGAUGAUCAGUCACACUGGAACUGAGACACGGUCCAGACUCCUACGGGAGGCAGCAGUGGGGAAUAUUGGACAAUGGGCGAAAGCCUGAUCCAGCCAUGCCGCGUGUGUGAAGAAGGUCUUCGGAUUGUAAAGCACUUUAAGUUGGGAGGAAGGGUUGUAGAUUAAUACUCUGCAAUUUUGACGUUACCGACAGAAUAAGCACCGGCUAACUCUGUGCCAGCAGCCGCGGUAAUACAGAGGGUGCAAGCGUUAAUCGGAAUUACUGGGCGUAAAGCGCGCGUAGGUGGUUUGUUAAGUUGGAUGUGAAAGCCCCGGGCUCAACCUGGGAACUGCAUUCAAAACUGACAAGCUAGAGUAUGGUAGAGGGUGGUGGAAUUUCCUGUGUAGCGGUGAAAUGCGUAGAUAUAGGAAGGAACACCAGUGGCGAA
RNAcentral lists this ribosomal RNA (641 nucleotides) under uncultured Pseudomonas sp. RNAcentral describes it as "bacterial SSU rRNA". It matches the Rfam family "Bacterial small subunit ribosomal RNA", at positions 82 to 719 of the family's 1533-position model. Lineage: Bacteria; Pseudomonadati; Pseudomonadota; Gammaproteobacteria; Pseudomonadales; Pseudomonadaceae. The record is from RNAcentral.